CACGACUACGAGUUUGAUCCUGGCUCAGAGUGAACGCUGGCGGCAGGCCUAACACAUGCAAGUCGAGCGGCAGCGCGGGGGCAACCCUGGCGGCGAGCGGCGGACGGGUGAGGAAUGCAUCGGAAUCUACCUCGUUGUGGGGGAUAACCUCGGGAAACCGGGACUAAUACCGCAUACGACCUACGGGUGAAAGUGGGGGACCUUCGGGCCUCACGCGAUGAGAUGAGCCGAUGCCGGAUUAGCUAGUUGGCGGGGUAAAGGCCCACCAAGGCGACGAUCCGUAGCUGGUCUGAGAGGAUGAUCAGCCACACUGGAACUGAGACACGGUCCAGACUCCUACGGGAGGCAGCAGUGGGGAAUAUUGGACAAUGGGCGCAAGCCUGAUCCAGCCAUGCCGCGUGUGUGAAGAAGGCCUUCGGGUUGUAAAGCACUUUUGUUGGGGAAGAAACCGGUCGGAUUAAUACUUCGGCUGAAUGACGGUACCCAAAGAAUAAGCACCGGCUAACUUCGUG
RNAcentral lists this ribosomal RNA (512 nucleotides) under uncultured bacterium. RNAcentral describes it as "bacterial SSU rRNA". It matches the Rfam family "Bacterial small subunit ribosomal RNA", at positions 1 to 507 of the family's 1533-position model. The record is from RNAcentral.